CGCUUCAUUUGUCAUUAUCGCCCUAAUUUGAGUUGGAUCCCUCAGUUUCCAUCUAUCGAAGUUUUAGAUUUGAGGGCAGUGAGCGUGCAACUUGUGCAGCAAAUAUUCACAACAUCAAUAUCUUCUUCUUCGAUAGAUGGAAACUGCUUCUUCCUCAAUCAGUCCUCCUCUCUCUAAAUUGGAGAAUCUUCAGAUUGAGGAGAUUGAGGAACUCAAAUCUCUACCGUCAGAUGUAUUGCAGAAUCUCACUUCUCUUCAAACUUUAAAGAUUAGUAAUUGCCCAAGAUUAACUUCUCUGCCUCGAGAGAUGUGUUCCCUAACAUCUUUAUGAGAAUUGGAAAUUGAUGAUUGUCCCCUAUUGAACGAAAGAUGCGCAAAUAAAAAAGGCGCAGAUUGGCCUUUCAUUUCUCACAUCCCAAAU
Molecule: unclassified non-coding RNA, 421 nt
Filed under: Hevea brasiliensis (rubber tree)
Lineage: Eukaryota; Viridiplantae; Streptophyta; Magnoliopsida; Malpighiales; Euphorbiaceae
Source: RNAcentral